AUUGAACGCUGGCGGCAUGCCUUACACAUGCAAGUCGAACGGCAGCACGGGAGCAAUCCUGGUGGCGAGUGGCGAACGGGUGAGUAAAGCAUCGGAACAUGCCCAGUCGUGGGGGAUAACGCAGCGAAAGCUGUGCUAAUACCGCAUACGAUCUAUGGCUGAAAGCGGGGGACCGUAAGGCCUCGCGCGAUUGGAGUGGCCGAUGUCAGAUUAGGUAGUUGGUGGGGUAAAGGCCCACCAAGCCGACGAUUUGUAGCUGGUCUGAGAGGACGACACGCUACACUGGGACUGAGACACGGCCCAGACUCCUACGGUGGGCAGCAGUUGGGAAUUUUGGACAAUGGGCGCAAGCCUGAUCCAGCAAUGCCGCGUGCAGGAUGAAGGCCUUCGGGUUGUAAACUGCUUUUGUACGGAGCGAAAAGGCACUUCCUAAUACGAGGUGCUGAUGACGGUACCGUAAGAAUAAGCACCGGCUAACUACGUGCCAGCAGCCGCCGUAA
This 500-nucleotide ribosomal RNA is filed under the name uncultured bacterium. RNAcentral describes it as "partial 16S ribosomal RNA". It matches the Rfam family "Bacterial small subunit ribosomal RNA", at positions 30 to 523 of the family's 1533-position model. The record is from RNAcentral.